This is a long non-coding RNA of Chenopodium quinoa (quinoa), 3165 nucleotides long. RefSeq lists it as uncharacterized. The record is from RefSeq and is a predicted model, not a curated record. Lineage: Eukaryota; Viridiplantae; Streptophyta; Magnoliopsida; Caryophyllales; Amaranthaceae. The transcript is spliced from 3 exons.
AAAAAAAAAGAGCGAACGAAAAGGCAAAAAAAGUGGGUUUCAAAAGUUAAAAAAAAAUGAGUGUUGAAGUAAGAAAAAGUUAGGGUUUCCAAUUUGUUUAUAUAUGACUAAUAAAGUAUGAAUAAUUUAGGCUUCUUCUUUUAAAUAUUGUGUUAUUUUAUUCAAAGUGUAGUGUUUCUGGAAAUUUGUUAGGGUUAUGCUUAGUUGUUAGGGUUCGUUUAUUAAAAUAAAAUUUAUUUGAAUAUUGUAUUAGCUUAAAUUGUGUAUUGUGUGUUUGUUGGUAUUUGUAGUGUGUGUUUGUUAGUAUCUGUAGUGUGUUUGUUGGUAUCUGUAGGAAUAGACCCUUAUUUAUUUGAAGGUGUUGUUUUUUGGUGUUAUAUUAGUUACUGUUUUUAGUCAUUUUCCCGAGCUCUUGAAGUGUUUGAUUCGAUUCAAAAUGUUAUGUUUACUUGUGGAAAUGUUAUGAAGAAUGGAUAAAUGAGUGGGGUUUUUUUUUUAUUUUUUUUUAAUUUUUUUAAUAUAUAUAUGUUUAAAGUGAGAUGAUCUAGCUUUGUAUAAUUGGAUUGCCAAUUAAUUAGAGAAGGUGUGAAAAAGAUGGGGUAGCAUGAAUAAUUAUUUGAGUAGUAGGUUUAAUGUUUUUUGUCAAUGAAACUUAAGUUUCGGUUUGAGUGAACUAUUGAGACUGGAUUAACAUUGUUAUUAAUUUAUUUUUGUCAAUUGUCUAUGUUUUGUUGUCGUCCUAAACAUCUAAAUGGCUUGUGUGUGUGUGUGAAACAACCUCAACCAUGGUGUUUACGAAGGGCAACUCUUUUAUAGGCCCAAGAAGUAGUAUGGGGUGAGUAAACGUAUCUUGUUAAUUUUGUUUUUCUUGUUAAGUUGGUUUGUUUUGUGUUUUUCCUUGGGAGCUGUUAGUUAUAUAAUGAGGGAUCACCCAUUUGGUUCUAGCAAGGACAACCCUCGCAAAAGGAAACAGAAAGCAGUUACUGAGCGCCCUGCGCCUGAGGAAGUUGUGGUAUUUGAUUAUGAGGAACCGAGGUCCGGUAGUGAGGAUGAUUUUCUGAAGAUGAAGAUUAUGUGGAAGAACCAACUCAAGGAAAGAGAAUUUGAGGAUCAGUAAUUUGAAGAGGAGGAGAACGCUGUGGUUCGGCGAGGCAGCAACCAUAAGGCUAAAUCUAGGUAUUUUGAAGAAAGGAAAAGGGGCCAUGUCGUGCAUAAGAGCCUUGUGAUUAGAAGAAAAGUUGCUUAAAUUAGGGAGCCACCGCCACUUCCCCCGCCGAGUAGGAAGAGAACUCAAGUUGUUGUAGACAACGAGAUAAGUGAAGUAAAUAUUAUUUUGUUUUGUUAUAAGUAAAGCAGCCUAGUAUGGCAAAUUAGAACUUGUAUUAGUGCUUGCAUGUUUUGGUCAAUUAAGGCUAGUAAUUAAAGUAAGUUGAAUAAGUUCAUGCACUUUGUUGGUUGUGUAAGUAGAUCGCAUUAUGGGUUAGGAAUCAAUUUAUUUGUCCAAGCUGUUGCACUUUUUUUAUCGUCAAUUUGUAAUACAAUUUUCCCAUCAUAUAGUGGCCAUGAUUUAAUAAGUUUAUGAUAUAUUGAUUAAGUUUGUGAUUGAAUGAGGUUUCUGAUAUAUUGAGUAAGUGUGUGAUACCAUUUUCUCAUCAUGAUAAAAUCUUUUUUUUUUUUUAUUUUUUUUAUUUUUUUUUUUUAUCUGUGAAUAAGUUUAUGAUAUAUUCAAUAUGAGUUUCUUGAAAUCAGAAUGGAAUUUGUGAAUGUGUGUUUGGUUGAUCAUUCUGAUGUAGUUUGUAUAAUUUGAUUUAUUUUGGUUUGUAAUACUUGCGUAUAAUUGUCGUUUAGUUGCAAGGUGAGGAACCUAUUAUACUGUCAGUUGGUGAGAAAGUGAAGAAGAAGCAUCUUGUUGUUGCAACACAGUUGAGAUUUUAAUCUAAGAAGGUACAAUGAGUAAUAGUUGGUUGUGUAUUGUUUGCCUAACUUUUUAAAACUUUAGUGUUGAGUCCUCAAGUGGUUUUUUGUUUUUUCAAGUUUGUAUUUCAUCAUUCAAACUUCAUGUGUUGUGUUGGUGCUAUGACUGAUUUUUUGGACGCGCUGCAUGAGGAAGGCGGUUAAUCAUUGAAUGAUGUGGGUUUGGUGACAUUUUGAAGCUGAAGCAUAUGAAGUUGUGUCGACAGUUUUCUUACUGGCUCAUGAGUAGGAUUGAUGGUGAUAGGUGCCUAGAAGUUGGUGAUGGUAGGUUGUUACCAUUGUGCCCUGCAAGUAGAAGUGCAUUUUUGGUCUUCCCGUCGGAAGGAAAAGUUAACCUAAAAGAUUAGGUGAUGGUGGCUUGGCUUUGAAGGAGAAGAUUGAUUAUGUGAUUAGGCAGCUGUAUGGUGCAAAAGAUAAGCAUAGGACGUUGGGUAUUUCGGCGCAAAAGGCUGCUCAGAAAAUUAUUAAAAUGCCAGUUGUUACGAGGAAGGAGCAAGUUGACUUUAUGAUGGGUUUUUUAGUUGUGAUCUUAGGGGAGAUAUUGUGCCCCACAACUGGUGGAGUGCAUUUGGCCGCUUUGUUGGCGUCUGCUGUAUGUGUAGCUGUGGAAGCUAGUGAGUACGACUGGUGCUUGCUAGCGCACAAGUGGUUGAUAAGUUGUGCCAGGGGUUUUGCUACAAAAUUUGAUGAGAAUGGUUUUGUUCCCGGGGCAAGUGGUUGUGCAUUGAUCUUGAUGAUAUUUUACCUUGAUCGGCUUUGUUCGACUCUGUUGAGCUAGGGUACGUAUCCGAGGGUUGAGGUUGGGAUCGGAAACUAGAUAAAGGAAGCAUAUGUUUGGAAAAUAAAGACUUUGGAAAUUUGAAAUCGCUGGAUGUGGCCUAUGGGGAGAGGCAUCCUUGGGUUCCAAGGGACAGCGUUGAGCCAUUUGAGGUGUCUGUUGCUAAUGAGGUAUGCAAAAACAUUAUUCAGUUAUAAUAGCAUUAAUGUAAUUUGUAUUUAUAAAUGGUUUAUUAUUGUGAGUGGUUGGUGUUUAAUCUUGGUUUGUUAUAAACAUUAUGAAGUUCGAAUAAUGUUCAAAUUACUACCAUCAAGAAAACUUGUUUAAAUAACUUUUAGAUUACAAUAAGAUAGCAUUAAUUUACCUAGUUGGUUUAAAGUUAGAUUCACAUAACUUGUUUUUGGUAUAUUGAA